RNAcentral lists this ribosomal RNA (164 nucleotides) under Ipomoea violacea. RNAcentral describes it as "5.8S ribosomal RNA". It matches the Rfam family "5.8S ribosomal RNA". From Rfam's summary of the family: 5.8S ribosomal RNA (5.8S rRNA) is a component of the large subunit of the eukaryotic ribosome. It is transcribed by RNA polymerase I as part of the 45S precursor that also contains 18S and 28S rRNA. The record is from RNAcentral. Lineage: Eukaryota; Viridiplantae; Streptophyta; Magnoliopsida; Solanales; Convolvulaceae.
AAUACGACUCUCGGCAACGGAUAUCUCGGCUCUCGCAUCGAUGAAGAACGUAGCGAAAUGCGAUACUUGGUGUGAAUUGCAGAAUCCCGUGAACCAUCGAGUCUUUGAACGCAAGUUGCGCCCGAAGUCGUUAGGCCGAGGGCACGUCUGCCUGGGCGUCACGC